UGGGAGGCGUCAAAUAGAUUGAUUCCUCGAAGAAGUCACUGCACCUGAGAGAGAAAGGAAAAAUAAUACAAAGAUGAAGAAGGUUUGAAACGAAAGCUAAAAGGGAAGAAGGAAGGGGGAAUUUUGAAACGAAAAUAAAAAAUGAAACCAGAGAGAUGAAGUCCACGUCACUUUUUACCAUUUGAAAAAAUAAUUAAAAGAAACCAAUACCUUUUUGAUAUGUGACGUUAUAAAAAAAUUGUUGACUUUUAAUUGUUAACCCAUCAUGGUCCAUAGUUUAUAUUUUUGAUUGAAUUAACAACUAAAAACUAUUAAAAAAUUGAUUUAAGUUUUGACCUAUUAGUGAGUGAAAAAUGAGUCAUUAAAUA
This 368-nucleotide long non-coding RNA is filed under the name Vigna radiata. RNAcentral describes it as "long non-coding RNA (VRAD_LNC010120)". The record is from RNAcentral. Lineage: Eukaryota; Viridiplantae; Streptophyta; Magnoliopsida; Fabales; Fabaceae.